GAGGGGGAAAGUGGGGGACCGCAAGGCCUCACGUUAUUGGAGCGGCCGAUGGCUGAUUAGCUAGUUGGUAGGGUAAAGGCCUACCAAGGCGACGAUCAGUAGCUGGUCUGAGAGGACGAUCAGCCACACUGGGACUGAGACACGGCCCAGACUCCUACGGGAGGCAGCAGUGGGGAAUUUUGGACAAUGGGGGAAACCCUGAUCCAGCAAUGCCGCGUGUGCGAAGAAGGCCUUCGGGUUGUAAAGCACUUUUGUCAGGGAAGAAAUCCUUUGGGCUAAUACCCUAGGGGGAUGACGGUACCUGAAGAAUAAGCACCGGCUAACUACGUGCCAGCAGCCGCGGUAAUACGUAGGGUGCAAG
This 361-nucleotide ribosomal RNA is filed under the name Trichormus variabilis 9RC. RNAcentral's name for it is "bacterial SSU rRNA". It matches the Rfam family "Bacterial small subunit ribosomal RNA", at positions 196 to 538 of the family's 1533-position model. Lineage: Bacteria; Bacillati; Cyanobacteriota; Cyanophyceae; Nostocales; Nostocaceae. The record is from RNAcentral.